GACGAACGCUGGCGGCGCGCCUAACACAUGCAAGUCGAACGGAGUCAAGAGGAGCUUGCUUUUCUUGACUUAGUGGCGAACGGGUGAGUAACGCGUGAGUAACCUGCCCUGGAGUGGGGGACAACAGUUGGAAACGACUGCUAAUACCGCAUAAGCCCACGGAUCUGCAUGGAUCUGCGGGAAAAGGAUUUAUUCGCUCUAGGAUGGACUCGCGUCCAAUUAGCUAGUUGGUGAGGUAACGGCCCACCAAGGCGACGAUUGGUAGCCGGACUGAGAGGUGGAACGGCCACAUUGGGACUGAGACACGGCCCAGACUCCUACGGGAGGCAGCAGUGGGGGAUAUUGCAAAAUGGGGGAAACCCUGAUGCAGCGACGCCGCGUGGAGGAAGAAGGUUUUAGGAUUGUAAACUCCUGUCGUUAGGGACGAUAAUGACGGUACCUAACAAGAAAGCACCAGCUAACUACGUG
RNAcentral lists this ribosomal RNA (468 nucleotides) under uncultured bacterium. Its description in RNAcentral is "partial 16S ribosomal RNA". It matches the Rfam family "Bacterial small subunit ribosomal RNA", at positions 28 to 507 of the family's 1533-position model. The record is from RNAcentral.